Xenopus laevis (African clawed frog) is the source of this 909-nucleotide non-coding RNA. NCBI's taxonomy places the organism in Eukaryota, Metazoa, Chordata, Amphibia, Anura, Pipidae. The record is from the annotation of a RefSeq genome assembly.
AGGUCAUGUGAUAUUCUUGUCUCCUGCCCCUAUCAUUGUUCUAGGUAGCUUUGUGUUAUAUCAAGCUAUUGCAUAGCAGGCUCAGCACUCCACUCCACUCAGUUGUUAUAUCACUGACAUGAAGAACAUACUCUUUUUGCAUCUAUUAUUCUUAGGCAUCUGUAUAUAUUCAGCUUCAGGAGCUAAAGUGACACAGUCUCCCCCAGAAAUAUCAAUUAGCGAGGGAAUGGAAGCCACAUUAAGCUGUAGCUAUGAUGAGACAGCUUAUGCUGUGUUCUGGUACCUGCAGAAACCUGGAAAAUCACCUCAGUUUAUUCUUCAGGACUUUACAAAAAAUGAAGAUCUAAAUGAGGAAUACAAGGAUCGCUUUAAUGCCAAUCAUGACAAGGCAACCAAACAAUUCCCUCUAAGCAUCAAACUCACAAAGAUCACAGACUCUGGGACUUAUCUCUGCGCCAUGAGGCCCACACUGUGUGAUGAGCUUGAGGCUGUGUACAAUAAACUUGUCACUGUGUCUUUUCGUUUCUAUUCUGUACCAUUAGGUGGCAGCAAUACCGUAUGUGUCUAUAGAUACCAAUCUGAGAUUAAUUUGGGAGAGGUUAUUACACUAACAAAAACACAGAUGAUUAUUCUCAUCUGUUACCAUCGUAUUCAGAAGGUGAUAGUUUCCCUUUUAAUGCAAAGUAAAUUCCACUAGAUCUUUAUAUCAAUAUGUGCAUUAAGUUGUAGUAUAUAUUUUGGGUCAACUUUUUUUAAGUUGAGUUAACGUUGUUGAUUCCUGGCAAUUGGCAGUUAUUGAAUACACUAUAAACUGGCUGUAUGCACUCCCCACCCAUCUUGUGUGAUUUCUGGGCCAUGGUCUAUAUAAACAGGAGAAGAACUACAGUACUUUUUUUCUGUUUUCAUUUU